RNAcentral lists this ribosomal RNA (484 nucleotides) under uncultured bacterium. Its description in RNAcentral is "partial 16S ribosomal RNA". It matches the Rfam family "Bacterial small subunit ribosomal RNA", at positions 30 to 507 of the family's 1533-position model. The record is from RNAcentral.
AUUGAACGCUGGCGGCAGGCCUAACACAUGCGAGUCGAGCGGAUGAAGGGAGCUUGCUCCUGGAUUCAGCGGCGGACGGGUGAGUAAUGCCUAGGAAUCUGCCUGGUAGUGGGGGAUAACGUCCGGAAACGGGCGCUAAUACCGCAUACGUCCUGAGGGAGAAAGUGGGGGAUCUUCGGACCUCACGCUAUCAGAUGAGCCUAGGUCGGAUUAGCUAGUUGGUGGGGUAAAGGCCUACCAAGGCGACGAUCCGUAACUGGUCUGAGAGGAUGAUCAGUCACACUGGAACUGAGACACGGUCCAGACUCCUACGGUAGGCAGCAGUGGGGAAUAUUGGACAAUGGGCGAAAGCCUGAUCCAGCCAUGCCGCGUGUGUGAAGAAGGUCUUCGGAUUGUAAAGCACUUUAAGUUGGGAGGAAGGGCAGUAAGUUAAUACCUUGCUGUUUUGACGUUACCAACAGAAUAAGCACCGGCUAACUUCGUG